Molecule: transfer RNA, 94 nt
Filed under: Amycolatopsis deserti
Lineage: Bacteria; Bacillati; Actinomycetota; Actinomycetes; Pseudonocardiales; Pseudonocardiaceae
Description: tRNA-Ser
Source: RNAcentral
CGCCCACUACCCGGCCGGCGUGCGGGCCACCGCGCUGGGGUGGGUGUCCGGCAUUGGGCGCUUCGGCGCGGUGUUCGGGCCGUGGCUGGGUGGC